RNAcentral lists this ribosomal RNA (497 nucleotides) under uncultured bacterium. RNAcentral describes it as "partial 16S ribosomal RNA". It matches the Rfam family "Bacterial small subunit ribosomal RNA", at positions 28 to 507 of the family's 1533-position model. The record is from RNAcentral.
GAUGAACGCUGGCGGCGUGCCUAAUACAUGCAAGUCGAGCGAACAGACGAGGCGCUUGCUCCUCUGACGUUAGCGGCGGACGGGUGAGUAACACGUGUAUACCCUACCUAUAAGACUGGGAUAACUUCGGGAAACCGGAGCUAAUACCAGAUAACAUGUUGAACCGCAUGGUUCAACAGUGAAAUACGGUCUUGCUGUCUCUUAUAGAUGGAUCCGCGCCGCAUUAGCUAGUUGGUAAGGUAACGGCUUAUCAAGGCAACGAUGCGUAGCCGACCUGAGAGGGUGAUCGGCCACACGGGAGCUGAGACACGGUCCAGACGCCUACGGGAGGCAGCAGUAGGGAAUCUUCCGCAAUGGGCGAAAGCCUGACGGAGCAACGCCGCGUGAGUGAAGAAGGUCUUCGGAUCGUAAAACUCUGUUAUUAGGGAAGAACAAAUGUGUAAGUAACUAUGCACGUCUUGACGGUACCUAAUCAGAAAGCCACGGCUAACUACGUG